GGUCCUAUGGCCCAAUGGCUAAGGCGCCUGACUACGGAUCAGGAGAUUCCAGGUUCGAAUCCUGGUAGGAUCG
Non-coding RNA from Daphnia pulex (common water flea), 73 nucleotides. The record is from Rfam. Lineage: Eukaryota; Metazoa; Arthropoda; Branchiopoda; Diplostraca; Daphniidae.